UUCAACUAAGACCAUUCAGCAUGUUCACUGUUAUAUUCCUGUGUCUGUGGCUUUCACUGAGUGACUCCAUGGCAGAUUCAAUCGAGCCACUUUUCACUCAGAAAGUUGUUGAUGAAGGUGAUGAUGUUACUCUGUCCUGCAGCUACAAAUUCAGUGUUUCAGGAAGCAACAACCUGCAGUGGUACAGGCAAUAUCCAAAAUCUAAACCCAAGUUCCUUCUUUAUAUUUAUCCAACUGGACUUCGAAGUCCUGACCUCCCCCCACGAAUGACUGCUCAAGUUCAGGAAAAUAACCGAGUGGAUCUGCUCAUCUCCUCUGCUGCUGUAUCAGACUCUGCACUAUACUACUGUGCUCUGCAGCCCACAGUGACAGGAAAUCCAACUGCACUGUACAAAAACUUUCACACAGUUUUAUUCCUUUGA
Neoarius graeffei (lesser salmon catfish) is the source of this 422-nucleotide non-coding RNA. NCBI's taxonomy places the organism in Eukaryota, Metazoa, Chordata, Actinopteri, Siluriformes, Ariidae. The record is from the annotation of a RefSeq genome assembly.